Non-coding RNA from Artibeus jamaicensis (Jamaican fruit-eating bat), 73 nucleotides. The record is from the annotation of a RefSeq genome assembly. Lineage: Eukaryota; Metazoa; Chordata; Mammalia; Chiroptera; Phyllostomidae.
UAGGAUUUAGUGUAGUUUGGUACGCGGGAGAUUUUUGAAUUCUUAAGCCUAGGUUCAAGUCCUGGAGUUCUAG